GUGCUUGCUUUGUCAACAUGCAUACUAAAACUGGAAAAGCACAGAGAAGAUUAACACAGCCCAUGCGCAAGGACGGUUCACACGUUUUGUGAAUCAUUGCCUAUUUGU
Molecule: small nuclear RNA, 108 nt
Organism: Diceros bicornis minor
Lineage: Eukaryota; Metazoa; Chordata; Mammalia; Perissodactyla; Rhinocerotidae
Source: RefSeq, a predicted model, not a curated record